Molecule: unclassified non-coding RNA, 148 nt
Organism: Pongo abelii (Sumatran orangutan)
Lineage: Eukaryota; Metazoa; Chordata; Mammalia; Primates; Hominidae
Rfam family: Metazoan signal recognition particle RNA
About the family: The signal recognition particle (SRP) is a universally conserved ribonucleoprotein. It is involved in the co-translational targeting of proteins to membranes.
Source: Ensembl
GCUGGGCGUGGUGGUGCAUGCCUGUAAUCCCAGCUACUCAGGAGGCUGAGGCAGGAGAAUCGCUUGAACCCAGGAGGCAGAGGUUGCAGUGAGCCAAGAUUGCACCACUGCACUCCAGCCUGGGCAACAGAGCGAGACUCUGUCUCAA